Non-coding RNA from Dermacentor andersoni, 3257 nucleotides. NCBI's taxonomy places the organism in Eukaryota, Metazoa, Arthropoda, Arachnida, Ixodida, Ixodidae. The record is from RefSeq and is a predicted model, not a curated record.
UCUUAAAGAAAAUAACUUUCUGCCCCUGCCGAACCCACGCACACUGUACAGCUACAUGAAGAACUUGAAAGCUGAUUUUGGGUUUGAUGCACACAUAUUUACUAUACUGAAGGAAAAGCUGCUGACUUCCCCUGAAAGAGAAGGACGAGGUUGGAAAGCGCAUCUCUUAAACUGCAUGUUGUGCUUGUGCCUUUCUGAAAUGAUUCAAAUGACAAUUUUUUUUCUCAGGUGUGCUCAUGUUCGACGAAAUGAGUGUCAGCAAAAGCCUGCACGUCAGAGAGUCUGACAUGAAAGUCCUUGGAAAAGUUGACUGGUGAGCACACCAGGCCAGGAGACCAUGAAAAAAAUAGUGAUCACGUGUUGGUCUUCCUGUUUCGACCCUUUUUGCAUGGAUGGUCACAAACUGUGGGAACUUUCUGUGCAUCGAGCGCCACCCCUGGAUCAGUACAUGCAAAGCUUCUACUGCAAUGUAUUGUACACUUGUCGAAUUCUGGAGCGGUUGUUGAUGCAGUGACAUGUGAUAAUUCGACAACUAAUCGGUCAGCCUUGAGGUCCCUAGAUAUGUAUUUAAUAACAUAGGACUUGUGCUGCAGGCCAGCUAGGACGACUUAAUUUUAUUAGUCUCACAUUUCUUUGCAGGCAUUCAUGGCGACAUCAGAGACAAACGGGUGUCAUUUCAGCGCCCAUGUGACCCCUCUAGGAUGAUUUAUAUUGUCAUUAAUCCACUGCACAUAUUUAAGUGUAUUUGGAACAACCUGCUGAAAGUUGGGAAGGUUUUGCUGCCGCAAGGUCAGGAAGUAUAUCAUCAUCAUUAUGCAGAACUCCUAGAAUAUGAAGAGCAGCAAUCUAGACUGCGUGCUGUGCCAAAGCUCACAAAGGCACAUAUAUACCCAAAUGCUUUCCAGAAAAUGAGCGUCAAACUUGCUGUUCAGUUCAGUGAAUCCACAGCUACAGUGAUGAAAUUCUACAGUGAGCAGGAAGCAUGCAAAAAGCUCCAUGCAUCUGCAGCAACAUAUGAAUUCACCAGGAGGAUGAACAAAUUAUUUGACUGCUUGAACUCUCAAAGGCCUGAGCAUGUGCAGUACAAUGAAGCUGAACAUGUUGCUACACUGAAAGAGAGCGUUGCAUGGCUUGACAGCUGCUGCACUACAUAAAAAGUCUGCCGAAGCAGAGGCAGAUUUGCUUUUUGAGCAAGCCGACAUGGGAGGCUCUAAGAGUAACCCUGCUCAGUACUAUAUCUCUUGUUGAGAACCUUCUUAAAGCAGGUUUUCGCUAUGCACUGGUGGGAAAGUUUGGACAGGACCCAUUAGAGAGAUUUUUUGGCAUUGUCAGACAUGUUGCCAGUGAUGGAGGACAGCCGACAGUCCAGCAAUUCCUAUUUCUAUAUAGGAUGCUUUCUGUGAAGAAUCUUGUCCAGCCGCCCAAGCGAUCCUCUGUAGCUGGAGAUGGUCCACAACUGCUCCUCAAGCUGCAAGAUUUAUUCAACAAAGAAAAGCCUACUGGGGCCUGUCAUGUGAACAACAAUAUAUCUGGAGCAAUAUUUCCUAAACAUAAUGAAAUCAAGCAGGCCUUUUUAUUUCCUUAACUAAGUGUACGUCAUAGUUCUUCUGCAUAGAAUUAUGUGCAAGUCCCUUCAUUUCUGGCCACAUUAAGUUGUAUGGGCAUCGCAUGUAUGGCAGGGCACUGUGCAUUGCAUGCAGCAUCAUGAAUGGAUGAUUUUGCAGCUGUUGAUUUAGAAAAGCCAUGCCGAUUUUUGAUAAAGCCUAGUUGUGGUUGUCAUGGUAAAGCUGUAUAACAAUACAAGGCAUCCAGUAAAUUUGUUGCAUUGUGUGCGGGCUGUUGACCACACCAACAAUAUAGUAUUUGUAUUUCAGGCUGAUUCUUUGGCUAUUCUUCUGGAUGAAGUCCUCUUGGAACCUGCAGAAACUGUGGAGGAGGCUUCAGUUCUCUGCCAUUAGCAGUCCCCAAAAGAAUGCAUAAGGGAUUGCCUUGCCGGCUAUGUCGCAAAAAAGUUUUCUUCGUUGAGCUGCUCGAGCUGUGUAGGAACAAUGAGAAGUUUUGAACAAGCGGCAACUGGCCUGAUUCUUGCAAAAUCCAAAGGUGGUCUACAAGUGCCCUCCAGCCACCUAGUCGCUCUCCUCCAAAUUGUGGAAGAUCAUUUGGAAGUGUACACAGUUGACAAAACUGCCUGUUCUGAUGUGUACGUUAAUAUUGUGGAGAAUGUUUUGAUGGACAGUCGUACUGCUACAGCUGCUGUCGGCUGCAAAUCGCACUUUGUAAGCCCCACUGCAGAAGUAGUUCAGUUUUUUCUUAAGACCCGCUUGCAUUUUUUCACGAGAGAAAAAAAAAGCAGAUGCAAGCAAAGGGGUGAGCUUCAUGUCCAGCAGGGGUGGUAGGAAACCAACCAGUUGAAGGGGUACCAGUUAAAGGGGCGCAGUAGGUAUCACGAUUAUCGUGUAAAGGCGACCACUUACAAAAAAUUGCAAUGCUGAUGAUGAAAGAGAACAAGGGUGUUGCGAGAUCUGAGCAGGGCAUUGAUAAAAACACAUUUGCUUUAUACUUUGUUGCAACCUCAAUUUGUGUUAUACCAGGAUAGAGUAGUUCACAGCAAUAGCGCCCUUACCGCGACCAUCUAUGAAAGGUAUAGCAUUAGAAUUCCUUUAAUGCAAGUGUUAAAACAAUAAUAUGCAUUGUUUUAUUUUCCAUUGUCCUUUAGUCUUGGCUAUUGAUGGGCUACAAUUCUUCAAUUGCAUGUACUUUUAAGUCUGUAUGCUGCUAUAAAUAAGAAGGUUAUUAGCACACUGUUAGCUAUAUUUGCAUUAUUAUUUCCUGAGCAAGUUGUGUGUGCAUGUUUAAGUAACAGCUGAAGAAGUAGAAAGGUGGUAUCUCUAACAAGCCAUUUAAAAAAAACAUUGCUGUAUUUGUGAUGUGGCUACUUGUGUUCGUUUGAGAGUUGUUUAGCCGUGUGUUAUAAAAUGCUUAUGCUUUACACUUUCUUGUUUAUAGAAACAAUCGAUAUGCAUUCUGUAUUUAUUGCCAUUCGUUUGCUGAUGUUUGUUUCCUGCCCCCCAAUGCAUACCUCUCACGUUUGAUCUUAUUUUUUUAUGCUUAUUAUAUCAGGUCAUGCUUUUAACAAACUUCUUGAAUUGUGAAUGAUGGACCAUUCAUGACUGGACGCCUCUGUGCUGUCUGUAUUUCUCUCCGCUUAUUUUACAUCAUAAAUAAAUGAUCGUGCUUGUAUGUUGUUUUUGCACCAA